UUUCGCAAUGCCCGAAAGGGUGACGAAGCGACGCCGCGUGCGGGAAGAAGGCCUUCGGGUUGUAAACCGCUGUCGGGAGUUAAGAAAUGCAAAGAUGUUAAUAGCAUCUUUGUUUGACUAAGGCUCCGGAGGAAGCCACGGCUAACUCUGUGCCAGCAGCCGCGGUAAUACAGAGGCGGCAAGCGUUGUUCGGAAUUAUUGGGCGUAAAGAGCACGUAGGCGGCUGUGUAAGUCGGUUGUGAAAGCCUUCCGCUUAACGGAAGAACGGCAUCCGAUACUGCAUAGCUCGAGUGCGGGAGGGGAGAGUGGAACUUCUGGUGGAGCGGUGAAAUGCGUAGAUAUCAGAAGGAACACCGGCGGCGAAGGCGACUCUCUGGCCCGUAACUGACGCUGAGUGUGCGAAAGCUAGGGGAGCAAACGGGAUUAGAUACCCCGGUAGUCCUAGCCGUAAACGAUGGGCACUAAGUAGAGGGGUUUU
Molecule: ribosomal RNA, 478 nt
Filed under: uncultured Planctomycetales bacterium
Lineage: Bacteria; Pseudomonadati; Planctomycetota; Planctomycetia; Planctomycetales
Also listed under: 1 other name
Description: bacterial SSU rRNA
Rfam family: Bacterial small subunit ribosomal RNA
Source: RNAcentral